AAAAAACUUUUCUUUCCUUUCUUGUUGUGCAGGGAUUUCUUUUAAGAGGUAUUUGUUGUUUUUGUUCCUAGUUAUACUAAAAAAGUUUAUUAAAUUUUGAGGAAUACACUAACAUUAUUUAUUUGGAUAUAGGCAAAAUAUCCUAAGAACAAUAUUCUUGACGCACCUCAAGCUAUUUUAUUCUCCAUAAUCAUCUUAUUUUUUCAACAAAAUCAACAUUUCUAGGGUGUUUUCUAACUUCAGACUUUGACAGCCCUUCCCUUGGAUUGUAGUUAUGAAGACGAUCGGCUUAGCUUCCUCCAGAGGCAUAUUCGAGAAGUAAGUUGCAACGAUCCAGAACGAUUGAGAAUGCAAGAUUUAACAUUUUAACUGCAAUGGAGGUGGAAGACGUUCUAACACUCUACAUUAAAAUUAGGGUUUGUUCUUAAACAAAGACGACGAAGUUUAGAACUGAGCAACUUGAUUUUCUGUUAAUAUAUUUUAAUAUAUUUCAUUAUAUUCAUUGUAAUUCAAUGUAAUUCGUUGUACUCCAUGUAUUUCAUUGUAUUCACUGUCUUUUUUUCCUCAUUGUAUUUCAAUGUAUCUCCUUGUAUUCUAUGUAUUUCAUUGUAUUCACUGUCUCACUAUA
Molecule: long non-coding RNA, 628 nt
Filed under: Nicotiana benthamiana
Lineage: Eukaryota; Viridiplantae; Streptophyta; Magnoliopsida; Solanales; Solanaceae
Description: long non-coding RNA (NBEN_LNC019480)
Source: RNAcentral